CACAAAGAGCCGUGUUAUUGUAUUUAAAAGAACCAUCUGUAGCAGAAACAAUGGCAUCAAAUUAUCUUUGAAUACCCACUGAAAAAACAUAAAGCUUUUUUUUUUAUUCUUCUUCUGUACGGUGGGGGGAUAGAGCAGUGUUAGGAUAACUGACUUUUUUGUUGUUCUCUGGGUGCAUUCUUCUCGCUCCCCCUCUCUCUCCCCCUCACCCUCUCACUCCUCUCUCUCUCUCUCUCUCUCUCUCUCUCUCUCUCUCCCUCUCCCUCUCUCUCUUUUAAAAAAUCAGCCAUUUGGGGUUUUAAGCCAUAAACGAUUUUUCUUGUUGCAGGGGAUUGCAGUGGCAACGCUAGGCUAGGUCUUGGAGGCUGGUGUAUGGCGAAGCGGUUGAAGGCAGGAGGCUGAUGGAGAGACUGGGGGGAAGAAAAGCCGAAAUGGAUUCACGGUGCCUUGGAUGGAGGACGAGAGGGGAAUUGCAAGCUCCUUCAACUGUUCUGUCCGGUGAGAAGUGAUCAAGCUUGGGCUGACAAGAGGCUCAGGGAGCCCUCACGUUCUUUCGCUUUUUUACCUGCCAAUCAAACUGCUACAAGACAACACCCUGAUCUGGCAUGGACAUCGCGGGUCCAAGCCUGUAGACCCAAAUCGGAUAAUCUCUGCAGCUGAUAACAAGCAAAAGAGAAGCCAGGCAACAGCCAUAUUAACGAAGAAAACAAUCAACUCUGAGGUAAUCCGUGUUUUGAACGCAACAGCUGAGAAAGUACAACAAAAAGAGUUGGGCUGGCUUGUGCAUGGCUCCACAGUGACUUCAUUUAUCUGGCCAGGUCUGAGUGAAUCGAACAGAGCAAAAUGUGCCUCUAACUGCCUGGGCUUCUUGUUCAGGCCCCUAGCUCAUUUGAACAGCUAAUCUCUCUCUGAGGGCUUCUGCUGCUUGUGGCCCUAGACUGCCAUAUCCGGGCGCAUCUCCUUGGGAUGCUCUCCCUCUUCUUCCCAGGGC
This 991-nucleotide long non-coding RNA is filed under the name Rhinolophus ferrumequinum (greater horseshoe bat). Its description in RNAcentral is "lncRNA (ENSRFEG00010021259.1)". The stretch from base 339 to 613 matches the Rfam family "SOX2 overlapping transcript exon 3". Lineage: Eukaryota; Metazoa; Chordata; Mammalia; Chiroptera; Rhinolophidae. The record is from RNAcentral.